Nerophis ophidion (straightnose pipefish) is the source of this 3326-nucleotide long non-coding RNA. RefSeq lists it as uncharacterized. NCBI's taxonomy places the organism in Eukaryota, Metazoa, Chordata, Actinopteri, Syngnathiformes, Syngnathidae. The transcript is spliced from 7 exons. The record is from RefSeq and is a predicted model, not a curated record.
GGAUGAUGGUGAAGAAGCUGACCGAUAUGAAGAGGAUGUAGAUGGCAAACAGCAGGCGGUCCACGAUGAAGCCCACCUGGACCCACUCCUCCGAGCUCUGGCCGCCCGCCACUUCCUGCUCCAACCGCAGGCGGAUGACACGGAGGUCCUCCCCCAAUCUCCUCAACUCCUGCUGGACCACGCCCUCCUUUCUCAGGGCCCCGCCCACACCUGCUCUUACACUGACCGCCUCCAUGUCUUCUGCAGAAGCGUGAACGGGUUUGGGACCACCGCUUGUGUCGACUUUGGAGGAAGCAGCACCAGGCGCCCCAACACCUUGAUGACCGUCAGUCGGAGCCAGCCAGGAAGCUGCGAGUGGCGAGAGGAACCCUGCAGCAGAAUGUUGACCAGGAUGAAGUCGAUUUGGACGUGAGUGGGAGUUGAACUGUUCACCACGGGUCGGAUGGAGCUGAGGUUGAAAACUGGCCUGAGAGCCUCCAGCAGGGCGAGGGAAUCGGGGCGAGAGCAGUUCGGCAUGAUGGGGUUGCAUGACCCUUCAAACACCAGGAGGCAGGAAUUAGUGAUUCGUCCUCGGUGAGGGGCGGACCUCGAGGCACACCUGCUCGCAAUUAGCACACCGGUAUUUAGGCUCGUCACUGUCACCUUGGCCUCGCCGGUUAUUGUCUCCAGUACUCCUGUCGUGCAUGCACCUGUUUCACCAGACCUGGUAGACCCAAGUCAUCUAUUGGCUGGCCCAGAUGAUGAUGAUGGUGAGGAAGCUGACAGAUAUGAAGAGGAUGUAGAAGCCAAACAGCAGGCGGUCUAUGAUGAAACCCACCUGGAUCCACUCCUCUGAGCUCUGGCUGACCCCCAGCUGCUGCUCCACCUGCAGGCGGAUGACUUUCAGGGCAGACCAACAAGACGUCCCAGAGUCCGGAGAACAAGCACGCGGACCCAGCGGGGAACGGGGCGCAGGUUUUUGGAGCCGAGCAGCAAGUUGGUGAUGAGGAUUGUCUCCAGGAGGCUGGCCACCAUCAGAGCCAAGCACAGGGAGAAGAAGACGUCUGGCGGGAACGAGAGGAGAUAAGUCCAAAUAUUCUAGGAUGAGUCGGAGACGUACUUAUGAGAGGUAUGGUGUUCCCCGUGAUGGGCAACAGGUCGUUCAUGAUGAGCAGAAAGACGGUGUAGCCCAGGAUGAGGGUCAUCUUGAAGGAGGAGCGGUCCACACUCUGAGGAGGCAACAGGAAGCUGAAGAGGUCGACGGUGAUGAGGAAGCAGCUGGGGAUCAACAGGUUGACCACGUAGAGCGUGGACCUGCGUCGCAAUCGGAUCUACGGGGACAACGGGGAACGAUGAGCCCAAAUUCUGCAAGUACAGACGCUCCAGAUGAAACAUACGUGAAAUGCAAGCUCGUCGAGGAGGUAACCUUCAAUGUCAUGUUGGUGAUUGAUCUUUUCACUGGUGAUGUUCAGCAGCUCCCACUCCCCCAAAGUGGUCAUCACAUGCUUGGAGACCUUAGUGAUCUUUUCAUCAGUCGACGAAGGAAACACCUUCAAUGCUGCUCCUGGUAACCAGAGAGACAGAGUUUGAAAGCAAGGGACAACCCUUGUCAAAGCGCUAUUAACUUCUCGUUAGGCUUUUGGAGCAUGAUUCUCAAACUGUGGUACCGCUAUUGGUACGUCAAAGAAUGACUUGAUUAAUGUUGUAUUACCGUAUUUCCUUGAAUUGCCGCAGGGCAUAUAGUAUGCGCCUGCCUUGAAUUACUGCCGGGUCAAACUCGCUUCCCAAAAUAAUUAGCGCAUGCUUAGUAUUACCGCCUGGUCAAACUCGUGACACUUCCCCAGUCAUCAUUUUCAAAAUGGAGGAGGCUGAUUUCAAUACCGGUAAUUUGAAAUCGCAUAAAGGGAAGAAAAUAAAGAGCUAUUCAGUAGGAUUUAAGGUCCAAGCUUACAUCACACUCAAAUUUUUACUGCAUACCUUUGGUAAGUGCCGGAGUGAGAAGAGGUUUUAAAAUGAUUAGCGCAUGCUUACUUUUACCGCAUGCCUUUGGUAAGCGCAGGAGUGAGAAGAGGUUUUAAAUUAAUUAGCGCCCCGGCGGCAAUUCAAGGAAAUACGGUAUAUAGCGUCUUAAUCCAGUGUAAUAAAGAGUUGCCAAAAUUGGAAAAAAAAACAAAACACUAAACUUUUACACAUAAAAUAGAAGCUAAUUUUGUCAAAUGCCUUCUCCAGGUCUGCUACAAAAAAUGAAUCCUCUUUUAUUUAACAUAUUAUAAUUUUCUAUAAUUUCUAGUAACUGCCUAAUAUUGUUUCCUGAAUUUCUUCCUUGUAGGAAACCUGAUUGAUCUUGGUGAAUGAUAUUUGACGAAACAGACUUAAGUUCUGUAGCCAAACAUUUUGCCAAGAUCUUAGCACCGUAACACUGAAGUGUUAUUGCAUCUUGCCAACCUUGAGACCUCGGAAUUCAGGGCCGGGGGGCGGGGUUAAGGGGGGAGGAGUAUAUUUAUAGCGAGAAUUCACUGAAAUUCAAGUUUAUUUACCGGUAUUUUUUUUUGUUUUUCGGACAAUAAUGUGCAAUAAUGUCAUAUGUAUGUAUGUAUAUAUGCAUAUAUAUGGAUAUAUACAUGCGUGUGGAUAUAUAUACAUAUAUAUGUAUCAUCUUUUCUAUCUUUUUUUACUAUUUAUAUUACCAAAUUAUUGUUGUAGCACCUUAGGGCAGUGGUUCUCAAAUGGGGGUACGCGUACCCCUAGGGGUACUUGAAGGUAUGCUAGGGGGUACGUGGGAUUUUUUAAAAAUAUUCUAAAAAUAGCAACAAUUCAAAAAUCCUUUAUAAAUAUAUUUAUUGAAUAAUACUUCAACAAAAUAUGAUUAUAAGUUCAUAAACUGUGAAAAGAAAUGCAACAAUGCAAUAUUCAGUGUUUACAGCUCGAUUUUUGUGGACAUGUUCCAUAAAUAUUGAUGUUAAAGAUUUCUUUUUUUAUGAAGAAAUGUUUAGAAUUAAGUUCAUGAAUCCAGAUGGAUCUCUAUUACAAUCUCCAAAGAGGGCACUUUAAGUUGAUGAUUUCUUCUAUGUAUUGAAAUCUUUAUUUAUAAUUGAAUCACUUGUUUAUUUUCCAAUAAGUUUUUAGUUAUUUUUAUAUCUUUUUUUCCAAAUAGUUCACGAAAGGCCACUACAAAUGAGCAAUAUUUUGCACUGUUAUACAAUUUAAUAAAUCAGAAACUGAUGACAUAGUGCUGUAUUUUACUUCUUUAUCUCUUUUUUUCAACCAAAAAUGCUUUGCUCUGAUUAGGGGGUACUUGAAUUAAAAAAAAAUUCACAGGGGGUACAUCACUGAAAAAAGGUUGAGAA